UUCUUCACCUGUAUCUCUCCUCUUCUGCCUUCUUCUACCGUCUCCUCACUCUCUCACUCUCUCACUCUCUCUUUCGAUGAUGGCGAGGGAAAGUGGUGAUGAAGACUAAGGUCAAAUUUGGAAUUGAUAGUCUGAUGCACUUUGCCGCAGAUGUAUCGGGUACGACUGUAGAAGCACUCAACUAUGCUUUCCCUUUUCUCAACUUAUGAUAUCAGUUACUGUAAAAUUCUAUACUUUGCAGCUUGCGCAAGGAGGUACAGUUGUAGGAACUAUAUUAUACACGUAGAAAGGGCAUGUAAUUUUUUCAAAUUAUUAAAUCAUGACAUGUAUUUUGAACGUUUUAUUUCAAGUGCAAAUCUAUAUUCUUAUA
This is a long non-coding RNA of Amaranthus tricolor (Joseph's coat), 370 nucleotides long. RefSeq lists it as uncharacterized. The record is from RefSeq and is a predicted model, not a curated record. The transcript has 2 exons. NCBI's taxonomy places the organism in Eukaryota, Viridiplantae, Streptophyta, Magnoliopsida, Caryophyllales, Amaranthaceae.